RNAcentral lists this ribosomal RNA (490 nucleotides) under uncultured bacterium. RNAcentral describes it as "partial 16S ribosomal RNA". It matches the Rfam family "Bacterial small subunit ribosomal RNA", at positions 28 to 507 of the family's 1533-position model. The record is from RNAcentral.
GAUGAACGCUAGCUACAGGCUUAACACAUGCAAGUCGCAGGGUAACAUGAGGAAAGCUUGCUUUCCUUGAUGACGACUGGCGCACGGGUGAGUAACGCGUAUCCAACCUUCCCAUAACUACGGGAUAACCCGUUGAAAGACGGCCUAAUACCGUAUGACAUCGUUUGCUGACAUCAAAUAACGAUUAAAGGUUUAGCGGUUAUGGAUGGGGAUGCGUCUGAUUAGCUUGUUGGCGGGGUAACGGCCCACCAAGGCGACGAUCAGUAGGGGUUCUGAGAGGAAGGUCCCCCACAUUGGAACUGAGACACGGUCCAAACUCCUACGGGAGGCAGCAGUGAGGAAUAUUGGUCAAUGGGCGAGAGCCUGAACCAGCCAAGUAGCGUGAAGGAUGACGGCCCUAUGGGUUGUAAACUGCUUUUAUGUGGGGAUAAAGUGCGUGACGUGUCAUGCAUUGCAGGUACCACAUGAAUAAGGACCGGCUAAUUCCGUG